Molecule: ribosomal RNA, 464 nt
Filed under: uncultured bacterium
Lineage: Bacteria
Description: bacterial SSU rRNA
Rfam family: Bacterial small subunit ribosomal RNA
Source: RNAcentral
CCUACGGGUGGCAGCAGUAGGGAAUCUUCGGCAAUGGACGCAAGUCUGACCGAGCAACGCCGCGUGAGUGAGGAAGGUCUUCGGAUUGUAAAACUCUGUUGCCAAGGAAGAAGACUGGUGAGAGUAACUGCUCAUCAGGUGACGGUACUUGAGAAGAAAGCCCCGGCUAACUACGUGCCAGCAGCCGCGGUAAUACGUAGGGGGCAAGCGUUGUCCGGAAUUAUUGGGCGUAAAGCGCGCGCAGGCGGUCAUUUAAGUCUGGUGUAUAACCAUUCGGCUCAACCGGAUGUGGCAUUGGAAACUGGGUGACUGGAGUGUAGGAGAGGAAAGUGGAAUUCCACGUGUAGCGGUGAAAUGCGUAGAGAUGUGGAGGAACACCAGUGGCGAAGGCGACUUUCUGGCCUAUAACUGACGCUGAGGCGCGAAAGCGUGGGGAGCAAACAGGAUUAGAUACCCCAGUAGUC